This is a non-coding RNA of Podarcis lilfordi (Lilford's wall lizard), 106 nucleotides long. The record is from the annotation of a GenBank genome assembly. Lineage: Eukaryota; Metazoa; Chordata; Lepidosauria; Squamata; Lacertidae.
UGGCCCUCCAGAUGUUUUAAGACUGCAGUUCCCAUCAUCCCUGACCACUGGUCCUGUAAACUAGGGAUGAUGGGAUUUGUAGUCCCAAAACAUCUGGAGGGGCCGA